GAUAGCCGUAGAUAGUUAAGGGGUUGAGAGUCGGGUCGGUGACGACGCGAACUUCUCCGAUGGUGGAGUCGUACAGUCCGCCCCAAAACAUGGCUUUAGCAACGAGCAGCAAGGCACCUGCGCCGAGAAAUAAUAAAUGAUGUCCCAAAAUCAAACCAAGUUGUUUGGGGUCGUUCCA
Molecule: antisense RNA, 178 nt
Filed under: Pleurocapsa sp. PCC 7327
Lineage: Bacteria; Bacillati; Cyanobacteriota; Cyanophyceae; Pleurocapsales; Pleurocapsaceae
Description: Antisense RNA which regulates isiA expression
Rfam family: Antisense RNA which regulates isiA expression
Source: Rfam by way of RNAcentral